AGAGAGAGAGAGAGAGAGAGAGAGAGAGAGAGAGAGAGAGAGAGAGAGGACUACUUGAAUCUCGAAUAGAAUCCACAGGUUUCAGCAAAAAUUCUCUAGUCGGAUCGAAAACUUCCUUAAUGGAUUUUUUUUAAAUAUUGAUUUACCACUUUUAAGCUCAUUGUCUAUUCCGAUUG
Long non-coding RNA from Vespa mandarinia (Asian giant hornet), 176 nucleotides. The record is from RefSeq and is a predicted model, not a curated record. NCBI's taxonomy places the organism in Eukaryota, Metazoa, Arthropoda, Insecta, Hymenoptera, Vespidae.